AUUGAACGCUGGCGGCAGGCCUAACACAUGCAAGUCGAGCGGAUGAAGGGAGCUUGCUCCUGGAUUCAGCGGCGGACGGGUGAGUAAUGCCUAGGAAUCUGCCUGGUAGUGGGGGAUAACGUCCGGAAACGGGCGCUAAUACCGCAUACGUCCUGAGGUCGAAAUUGGGGGAUCUUCGGACCUCACGCUAUCAGAUGAGCCUAGGUCGGAUUAGCUAGUUGGUGGGGUAAAGGCCUACCAAGGCGACGAUCCGUAACUGGUCUGAGAGGAUGAUCAGUCACACUGGAACUGAGACACGGUCGAGACUCCUACAGGGGGCAGCAGUGGGGAAUAUUGGACGAUGGGCGAAAGCCUGAUCCAGCCAUGCCGCGUGUGUGAAGAAGGUCUUCGGAUUGUAAAGCAAUUUAAGUUGGGAGGAAGGGCAGUAAGUUAAUACCUUGCUGUUUUGACGUUACCAACAGAAUAAGCACCGGCUAACUUCGUG
This 484-nucleotide ribosomal RNA is filed under the name uncultured bacterium. Its description in RNAcentral is "partial 16S ribosomal RNA". It matches the Rfam family "Bacterial small subunit ribosomal RNA", at positions 30 to 507 of the family's 1533-position model. The record is from RNAcentral.